AAUAGUUUACCGCCGGGUAACUUUGUCUUAGAUCCAUUCCGUUAGGCCUUGAAGGAAUGUGUCUAGGACUUUUUUAUUA
Molecule: non-coding RNA, 79 nt
Filed under: unclassified sequences
Source: RNAcentral